Oreochromis niloticus (Nile tilapia) is the source of this 1331-nucleotide long non-coding RNA. RefSeq lists it as uncharacterized. Lineage: Eukaryota; Metazoa; Chordata; Actinopteri; Cichliformes; Cichlidae. The transcript has 3 exons. The record is from RefSeq and is a predicted model, not a curated record.
UAACCUAACUCUGAUAUUUUGCAGUAAAUUGGGACAUUUAGGAAGGACAUUUUUUUGUAUGGUUUAAUCCUUAUAAAGCCUCAAUUCUAACCCUUUUUUUCUUUCUUCUAAAGGAGAAAUCAUGUAAGGAUUUAGUUAUAAUAUUAUUCAAAUGCUUUAAAAAUAGGCAAUUCCAGCUUAAAACAACCCACUGCGCCGCUUCCUGUAUGAUUGCUGAACUUGUGUUGGCCAAUAGGUGGCACUGUGGGACCAAAAGUUCAUUUCUAAGCACCUGGUCGAGGCAGCACCGGCUCAGAGAGGAGCUGAGCACAAGCACAACCCGUUUUUAUCAUUGCUGUAUGGAAACACCCCUGGCCCGGAUGAGGAUGACUGCAGUUAGCAGUGGAACAUGUGUUUUCAAGUUUCUCUGACUGUCUGCCUUCUAUCCUUGGGCUCUCAUUCUCUGGACUCCCCCUCCAAAUUCACCUUGUUUACCAUGGACUGAGAUGAAACAAGAAGCAAAAAGAGGCUGUCACCCCUUCAUUGUUCCGUUCCGUACAUUUCGGAUGAAUUACACUGGCAGUGGAAAUAAUUGCUUGUCCCAAUUAUGAAUUCAUCUGCUGCCGUGGCUUUCAGACUUGAUGUGGAGAAAAUUCCCCAGAGCAGAACCAAACAAUGCGGGGGGAAUAAGGCACAGGAGCGUGUCAGUGGCCAUUAAUAUCCAUAAAGGCAAUUUCACAGCACACCUAAUGACAUAAAAUGACAGACAAUAACAGUUAGGGAAAAAGUGUGUGAGUAGAGGUGAGGUGGUGUAUGGGGGCUAGAGUAGGGAAGGAGCUAAUAUAGUUCUCAGCAAACACACGUAGAGAGUUAAUGUCAUACUUUUUCUGUCUAAGCUAUGUGCCAGAAAAUCUGACAGGUAGGAAAUAAAUGUUAAUGGGGUGGGCAUAAUAUUAGGAACACUUCCUAAUACAACGAAGGCCAGUACAACACCACUGCCUACAAUAAUCUUAAUAAUGAUUAUAAUAAGGAAAAAUGAUCAUUUGGAAAUGUAAGUGUAAAUGAAAGUAAGUGCAGUAAAACAAUACUGACAAAAACAAAGGUACAGAUCUGCUGUGAUCAUUCACGACUGGAUCUUUCCACCUGAGUUCUAUCAGAUUUUCUACUUUCUUCAAGGUAUAUUUGUUGUUUAGUUGCUGCUUUUAAGAUGUCUGGAUAAAAAAUGUCUCUGUGACUUCACAGAGCCUGUGCUGCCACAUUUUCUUUGUGCUUGCAUUUCUUUUUUUUAACUUCCUUUUACAGCCCAGCUGAGUUUUUAAUCAGGUAAUAAUAUAUAAAGAAUGAUGUAAAUU